Molecule: ribosomal RNA, 498 nt
Filed under: uncultured bacterium
Lineage: Bacteria
Description: partial 16S ribosomal RNA
Rfam family: Bacterial small subunit ribosomal RNA
Source: RNAcentral
GACGAACGCUGGCGGCGUGCCUAAUACAUGCAAGUCGAACGAGAGCGCCCGGUGCUUGCCCUGGUCAAUCUAGUGGCGAACGGGUGAGUAACACGUGGGUAACCUGCCCAUCAGAGGGGGAUAACAUUCGGAAACGGAUGCUAAAACCGCAUAGGUCUUCGAACCGCAUGGUUUGAAGAGGAAAAGAGGCGCAAGCUUCUGCUGAUGGAUGGACCCGCGGUGCAUUAGCUAGUUGGUGAGGUAACGGCUCACCAAGGCCGUGAUGCAUAGCCGACCUGAGAGGGUGAUCGGCCACAUUGGGACUGAGACACGGCCCAAACUCCUACGGGAGGCAGCAGUAGGGAAUCUUCCGCAAUGGACGCAAGUCUGACGGAGCAACGCCGCGUGAGUGAAGAAGGUGUUCGGAUCGUAAAACUCUGUUGUUAGAGAAGAAUAAGUGCUAGAGUAACUGUUAGCGCCUUGACGGUAUCUAACCAGAAAGCCACGGCUAACUACGUG